This is a long non-coding RNA of Cavia porcellus (domestic guinea pig), 3231 nucleotides long. RefSeq lists it as uncharacterized. NCBI's taxonomy places the organism in Eukaryota, Metazoa, Chordata, Mammalia, Rodentia, Caviidae. The transcript is spliced from 3 exons. The record is from RefSeq and is a predicted model, not a curated record.
GUAUGAGCUUAAGUUGUCCCCACCUGACUUGGUCUUAAGCAGGGUGGACAGACAAGGGCAUUUUUCUCCCCUCUUAAAAUUUGCCUAGCUGCUUUCAGGACUGAGGCUUUGCUUGCGGUCUCUUAGGGAGACAGAAAGAUAGACAGCCAGCCAAAGAAACAGACGUCCCAGGGAGGAAGCCCUGUGCUGGGAUUAGGAGCAUGGGCUCUGAUCUUGAAGCCACCUUGAGACCCAUCCGCUAUGCUUAGCUUACAGCCUAAUACAUGGUUACAGAGCUCUGCUUUCAUAUCCAGUGAGGGGCAUACAUCCACUCCUUUAUUUUAAUACUCAGACUUGCUCAAUUUUGCUGGCUUUAGUCCUUUGAAAAAGAUCGCAACUGAUUUAGAAAGUGAUUUGGUUUAUAAGAAAGUCAUUUCCCCUGUGCUGUGUUUAGCAGAAUCCUGCAGUGUCACUGUAGAUACAAAAUGUGCUAACCUGAACACAUGGACAUAGGCUGUGUGCCUAAAAUCACCAGAGACCCUUAGGGAGCCACUCUGGCAGAAGAGCUGCAUCAGUGUUGGACUGAGGAGUCAGCAGACCUGAAUUUGAGUUUGGCUUCCACCACUCUGCAAUCCUGGAUGAGCACACUGGAUUUCAGAUGAGCAGAGUGGUUCAGUGAUUUGCUGAAGGCAGCACAGCUUCCAAGGGUCCGCACUCCGGUCUCUACAUGCGUAACUGAGAGAAAUGUUCACACAGAGGCUAAAAGAAGCAUGUAAAAUGCUGUUAGUGGGAACAUUACUGCAGUAAUGAAGAUUGGAAAUGGCUUAACUGCCCAUCAAUAUGGGACUGGAUUUUAAAAAGUCCAUUUAUUGUGUGGAAUGCUGUGCUUUAGUUAGAAAGGAAGAAAUAGCGCUUGGAAGGUUGAGGCAGGAAGACGGUGAGUUUAGCUAGCCUGGGCUACAUAGUGAGAUAUUGUCUCAAAAAAAAAACAAAAAAGAAAAAAAUGAAUCAACAAAGAAAGAAAGGAAAGAAGGAAAGAAGAAAGGAAGGGAAGAAGACCUAGAUCUUUUUACACAGAAGUUGCUGAGCAAAAAUUAAAAGCAUGCCGUGGCUCCAGACAUAGCUGUUAAAAACUAUACGGUUGCAUUUUUCCAGUGAGAACGUGGUCUUGUGUGCCUUGUACACUUCAUUUUACAAAGAAGAUGGGACAAAGAAAACUGAGUGACCACGGGAGCUUCUGACUGACCUGGCCUGGGUUUGGGCAUAGCGGACAGCAUUGUUCCCUCUGUCUGUUGCAGGCUGCAGAUACCAGAGCAGUCACAGAAGAUGACCUGCUUUCUCUGUACCUCGAGAUUUGUCCCCCAAGGUGUGAUGGGUUGGGGAGCUGAGAUGCUGGGUCCUGAAGAGCAUCUAGACAAAGGAGGAGGAAGACAAGAAGGCCAGGGUGGCUGCAGGACUCAGCCCAUGCAGCUUCCCUGAACUGUCGUUAGUUCUGGGAGGAAGGAGUGUAGCCUGGUGCAGGGAUGGUUACUGAGGACGAAGACUGGAGGGCCCUGGAGGACAUGCGGGAAGGGCUUGAGGGUUCCGAGAUGGCACGCAGCAAGGCACGCUCUGUGUUUGCCUGGCGGAUCAUCUCCUGCAUUCCUUCACUCAUUCUGACGCUGUAGUUGAAUUCCUCACAUGUCGCAUUGCACUGUGUGCUGGGCACACAGAGACCUUCCAGGAGCCAUUGGGUCCCAUGCGGGAGAAUUACCUAGGAAACUUGUUAAAAUGUGAAUUUUUGGGGUCUACUCAGUCCAAAGGCCAUGCUGAGGAGUCUGGUUCUUGUCUGAAUAACAGAGGAAUUUCUAUGUAAGCCAGGGAGUGAAGGGCGUAGGUAGAAUUAUCAGAGUCAUAGAUGCAUGUAACGUGAAGCCAGGCCUCACUUCUCUGUGGAGCAGCAGAGAAUUCGGAGCUGGAGCCUCUGUGGCUGAGCGUAGCCUAAGUGAAUGUGAGGGCAGCAGGGGGAAGCCAGUGAGAUCUUGAGGUGGAGGGAGAGGUGGGUGAUGGUUGGGGCUCUGGGAGGUGACAGCUUUCACCCUGGAACCAUAGUGAGGUAUCAGAGUGUCCAACACUGGCUGGGAGUUGGUGGGGGUGUCCUAUGCCUCCCUGCACGGAGGCUGUGAGUGGCACUCAGCUGCUCUUUCUUCUCUUCCUUCUCCUUCUCUUUUUCCUCCCUCUCUUUCUCUUUUCUGGUAUUUAAGAGAUCGAUGCAUUGGGGGAAAAGGGCAAACUCAAGCCAAAGGCAGGACCAAGACUUGGAGUCAAAUUUGGCACCUGGCUGCGGGGUAGGGUAAGGGACAUCCCAGGGUUGAGGACUCUGUGAUAUUUCUGCUCUUUUUACUUUUUAUUUUUUUGACAGAGUCUUGCUGUGUAAUUCAGGCUGGUCUUAAAGUUACUACGUAGCCCAGGCUGGCCUUCAAUUCAGUGAUCCUCCUGCUUCAGCCUCCUGAGUGCUGGGAUUACAAGCCUGUACCACCCCACCUGGCAUUUCUCUCCUUUUGCUUGUAUCUCUACCUUGUUUUCUCACCAGCCCUCACAGUCAGAGAAAUAGAAAGGGCAGGAGGAAGGAACCGAAGGGAAAGUGUGACCAUUAGCACAUACAUGCUGCUCUGAGCAGAGACUCUGCACUUGGUUGAGACUUAGCAUUGACCUGGACAGAAUCACUAAUCCCAUGGAGGGCUGGGAAUCCUGCCAUAGAUACAAUGGUGAAGAAAUGUGCUGACAUUUGGAUUUCCAGGCUGCUACCCAGUCAAGAUGAAGACCUCACACUUCACAGUGUUCAGAGCCUUUGACUUGGGGCCCUAAGUUCCAGCUCAUCACUUCUGGAUAACUUCAAACAAAUCAUCUACCAGACUUCAUUGAAAUGGGGAUAAUCCUACUACUCACCUCUGAGGGCAGCUGCAAGGACUGAGUGAAUUGAUGUGCACAAAACUUUUAAGGAUACUGCUGCUGUACAUUUGUAUGUACCUGCCUGCUGGUCUCUGUAAAAGAGACAUAAUAAUAAUUACUGCCCCUUAGAGUUGAAUGACAAAGUGAAAAAUAAAAGUUUUUGCAACUUGCUAUACAAACAGGAGUGACUAUCAGUGUGGACUAUCCCAUCGAUAAUAUUUCCUAGUUAUGUAGUGCAAUGUUAUUCAACAGAAAUAGAAUGUGAACCAUACAUGUAAUCUAAAUUUUCUAGCAAUUGUAUUAAAAUGAAGUAAAAAGAAA